GCUGUGAUGGCGAGCGAAAUAUAGUAGCGAAGUUCCUGAUUCCACACUGCCAAGAAAAGCCUCUAGCGAGGUGAGAGGUGCCCGUACCGCAAACCGACACAGGUAGGCGAGGAGAGAAUCCUAAGGUGAUCGAGAGAACUCUCGUUAAGGAACUCGGCAAAAUGACCCCGUAACUUCGGGAGAAGGGGUGCUCUGUUAGGGUGCAAGCCCGAGAGAGCCGCAGUGAAUAGGCCCAGGCGACUGUUUAGCAAAAACACAGGUCUCUGCG
This 268-nucleotide ribosomal RNA is filed under the name Serratia sp. RJAL6. Its description in RNAcentral is "Enterobacter sp. RJAL6 partial 23S ribosomal RNA". It matches the Rfam family "Bacterial large subunit ribosomal RNA", at positions 1560 to 1827 of the family's 2925-position model. Lineage: Bacteria; Pseudomonadati; Pseudomonadota; Gammaproteobacteria; Enterobacterales; Yersiniaceae. The record is from RNAcentral.